CCGUGCAAAGACCACUGUUAUGCUGCCUCGUGUGUAGUUGUUGACACGGUUUUCGAUGUAAGUUGGUGUAUGCAGGUCAUCGGCGGAAGUAUCUGUGGGCGGCAGCAGAUAACGAUAUCAAGCAAUAUUCCUGUCAAAGCAGCACUCACGUUUUGCAGCAUCAGGAGGCCCGCAUGAGAGGGGUCUCGGAGUGGGAGUCUCGUGGAAACGAGCAGCACAGUACGAUGCUGUGCAUUUGGCCCCUGUGCAUAACGCAUGGCGUCCAGUGCAUGCACGGAGCACCUUCAUUCGUUGCUCCUUCACUUGGCGGCGAACGCGAGGAACGAUGACUUAUUUGUAUUUUCCCUCCUCAAUGACUGAAUUCUCGCGGCAGACCGCGUAGCCUCUCAGAUGGAAAUUCGUCGUCAAUCAUCGUUUUGUGCCUUCGCUGAGUCUCGACGCACGGCAGACCACGCAUCACAGUGCCCUCCCAAUCGGCCAUAUCUGUGAGCUGGAGAAUAAUAACAGGAUACAGGAGCCAUGUUUGACGAGGUAGUCAUGAGUGACAGCUGGAACAAACUGGCCAAUGUCUUCGCUGACCGCUUCACAUUGUGGUCGUGUUGUUUGUGACAGUGGUAUCGCCGCCCUUGACACCCCGUUCAUCGGUCCCUGCUGGGCUGCUGCCGAUGUGCUACAUCAAGAGCAAGACGCCUGUAGUUUUAUCCUCCAGCGAGGGAAAAACAACCCGACUGCAUCCAACAGAGUUUCCUUGUGAGGAUGUCUAGCGACACCGACGUGCGGAUCCAUAUGGAUAUAAGGAGAUUGAUCCACGUUGACUAAGCGACAAUUCGUGUGAGUCAUUGC
Molecule: long non-coding RNA, 843 nt
Filed under: Toxoplasma gondii VEG
Lineage: Eukaryota; Apicomplexa; Conoidasida; Eucoccidiorida; Sarcocystidae
Source: RNAcentral